Non-coding RNA from Morus notabilis, 87 nucleotides. The record is from Rfam. NCBI's taxonomy places the organism in Eukaryota, Viridiplantae, Streptophyta, Magnoliopsida, Rosales, Moraceae.
GAGCCAUGAUGACUCUUGCGCCUUUGUGAUGGUGGGGUCCAUCACAUCACCUGAUCCAACGGACGAGAAAUGGGCGCUUCUGAGCUC